Molecule: long non-coding RNA, 558 nt
Organism: Oreochromis niloticus (Nile tilapia)
Lineage: Eukaryota; Metazoa; Chordata; Actinopteri; Cichliformes; Cichlidae
Exons: 3
Source: RefSeq, a predicted model, not a curated record
AGUUCAAAGUUUGCUUGGUUUUAUGCUGGUGCAUAUCUGAGUAUCAGAUGGUGCCACAGGUCAGACUCCAGCAGUUCUUUCAGGAAUCAGCAGACAGAGGAAACAAACACCACAGACGCUGCUUUUCCAGUGCUUUGAAAAACAUUUGUUUCAGUAAUCAGUAAUGCUCUUCAGGGGAUCAGUCUGAUCGUCAUACACACACCCUCAACCUCCUCUGCUGCCGUGCUGCUUCUAACUCUUCUUCUUCUAUGCAGAGGUUAUUCUCAGGGUGGACAUUGGCAGCAAAUAGUGGGUCACGUUGGCAAAGAUGUUGUUUUACCCUGCUUCUUGAAAACUCCCAUGGACGCUUCACAACUGCAGUUCGAGUGGGCGAGAACUGACCUGACACCAGGAUUCAUAUAUGUGUGGGACAAAAAUAAAGAAAAUGUGGAGUUCAAACAGCCAUCAUAUCUGGGAAGAACCUCACUGUCCUUUGAUAAACUGAAGCAUGGAGAUGUCUCACUGACUCUCUCCAAAGUAGAGCUGCCUGAUGCAGGACCGUACAGAUGUUUUAUUCCU